CAGCAGUAGCCGCGGUAAUACGUAGGGGGCGAGCGUUGUCCGAAGUUACUGGGCGUAAAGGGCUCGCAGGCGGUUUCUUAAGUCUGAUGUGAAAGCCCCCGGCUCAACCGGGGAGGGUCAUUGGAAACUGGGAAACUUGAGUGCAGAAGAGGAGAGUGGAAUUCCACGUGUAGCGGUGAAAUGCGUAGAGAUUGGAAAGAACACCAAUGGCGAAAGCACUCUGCUGGGCCAACACUGACACUGAGAGACGAAAGCUAGGGGAGAAAAUGGGAUUAGAUACCCCUGUAGUCCCUGUCUCUUAUAA
RNAcentral lists this ribosomal RNA (304 nucleotides) under uncultured bacterium. RNAcentral's name for it is "partial 16S ribosomal RNA". It matches the Rfam family "Bacterial small subunit ribosomal RNA", at positions 506 to 809 of the family's 1533-position model. The record is from RNAcentral.